AAUGGUGCCAAUAUGAUAUUCUUCUGAGGCAUCAUUCUCUAGAGGCCAAACUAGAUGGGUAAUUACAAAAGUUGUAAAUGGCUAAAGCGCUAUCCUCUCAUCAUUAUUGUUGCUAGCCAAUAUGAUAUUCUUCUGAGGUGGGCUUGGUAAUGGUGAGUCUCCCAUACCCCGCUUAGAGUUCAAAAUAACUCUCGAAUUCCAUUGAGGGAUGUAGAAUUUGCCAAAAAUAGUGGGUGGUACUAUUUGAUUUAAGACCCAAUCAAGUAGUUUUAAAACAAAUAAUCUAAUACGAUUUCUGUUAUGUUAUGUAGUUAACGACAUGCCUAAAA
RNAcentral lists this long non-coding RNA (329 nucleotides) under Malus domestica (apple). RNAcentral's name for it is "long non-coding RNA (MDOM_LNC008307)". The record is from RNAcentral. Lineage: Eukaryota; Viridiplantae; Streptophyta; Magnoliopsida; Rosales; Rosaceae.